Molecule: ribosomal RNA, 403 nt
Filed under: Fusobacteriota bacterium
Lineage: Bacteria; Fusobacteriati; Fusobacteriota
Description: Fusobacteria bacterium partial 16S ribosomal RNA
Rfam family: Bacterial small subunit ribosomal RNA
Source: RNAcentral
UGGGGAAUUUUGCACAAUGGAGGAAACUCUGAUGCAGCGACGCCGCGUGAGUGAUGAAGAUCUUCGGAUUGUAAAACUCUGUCCUUAGUGAAGAUAAUGACAGUAACUAAGAAGCAAGCCCUGGCUAAAUACGUGCCAGCAGCCGCGGUAAUACGUAUGGGGCAAGCGUUGUCCGGAAUUAUUGGGCGUAAAGGGUACGUAGGCGGUUUAAUAAGUCCUAAUUAAAAGGCUAUGGCUCAACCAUAGUAUGGUUAGGAAACUGUUGAACUUGAGGAGAUGAGGGGAAAGUGGAAUUCCAUGUGUAGCGGUGAAAUGCGUAGAUAUAUGGAAGAACACCAAUGGCGAAGGCAACUUUCUGGAAUCAAACUGACGCUGAGGUACGAAGGCGUGGGGAGCAAACAGG